GAUCAGGUAGGAAUACCCGCUG
RNAcentral lists this ribosomal RNA (22 nucleotides) under Trichoderma asperellum. Its description in RNAcentral is "partial 28S ribosomal RNA". The record is from RNAcentral. Lineage: Eukaryota; Fungi; Ascomycota; Sordariomycetes; Hypocreales; Hypocreaceae.